Molecule: ribosomal RNA, 500 nt
Filed under: uncultured bacterium
Lineage: Bacteria
Description: partial 16S ribosomal RNA
Rfam family: Bacterial small subunit ribosomal RNA
Source: RNAcentral
AUUGAACGCUGGCGGCAUGCCUUACACAUGCAAGUCGAACGGCAGCACGGGAGCGAUCCUGGUGGCGAGUGGCGAACGGGUGAGUAAAGUAUCGGAACGUGCCCAGUCGUGGGGGAUAACGUAGCGAAAGUUACGCUAAUACCGCAUACGAUCUAUGGAUGAAAGCGGGGGAUCGCAAGACCUCGCGCGAUUGGAGCGGCCGAUAUCGGAUUAGGUAGUUGGGGGGGUAAAGGCUCACCAAGCCGACGAUCUGUAGCGGGUCUGAGAGGACGACCAGCCACACUGGGACUGAGACACGGCCCAGACUCCUACGGGAGGCAGCAGUGGGGAAUUUUGGACAAUGGGCGAAAGCCUGAUCCAGCCAUGCCGCGUGCAGGAUGAAGGCCUUCGGGUUGUAAACUGCUUUUGUACGGAACGAAAAGGUUUGGCCUAAUAAGCUGAGCUCAUGACGGUACCGUAAGAAUAAGCACCGGCUAACUACGUGCCAGCAGCCGCGGUAA